GGUUUGGUCCUAGCCUUGAAAUCAGUUUUUAUUUAAUAUACACAUGCAAGUCUCCGCACCCCUGUGAAAACGCCCUCAAUUCCCUAUUCGGGAAUAGGAGCUGGUAUCAGGCACAACUACUGCCCAAAACACCUAGCCUCGCCACACCCACAAGGGACCUCAGCAGUGAUUAACAUUGAGUAUUAGCGCCAGCUUGACUCAGUUAAACUCUUUAGAGCCGGCCAAUCUGGUGCCAGCCGCCGCGGUUAUACCAGAAGCUCAAAUUGAUUUCUAUCGGCGUAAAGCGUGAUUAAAGUAAUUAUUACUUGGAGUUAAACUAAAACUAAGCUGUAACACGCCUGUUACCUAAGAAACACCAAAACGAAAGCUACUCCAACUCACCCCACUUGAAUUCACGACACCUGAGAAACAAACUGGGAUUAGAUACCCCACUAUGCUCAGUCGUAAACUUUAAAUUACACCUCUAUCGCCUGGGAACUACGAGCCAAGCUUAAAACCCAAAGGACUUGACGGUACCCCACAUCCACCUAGAGGAGCCUGUCCUAUAAUCGAUAAUCCUCGUUCAACCUCACCAUUUUUAGCUAUUCAGCCUGUAUACCUCCGUCGUCAGCUUACCACGUGAGCGCCAGUGAGCUUAAUGUUCUUCAACCACACGUCAGGUCAAGGUGCAACUAAUAAAAUGGAAAGAGAUGGGCUACACUCUCUAAUAUAGACUACACGGAAGACUUAAUGAAAAUUUAUCAGAAGGCGGAUUUAGCAGUAAAAAGAAAUCAAAAAAUUCUUUUAAAUCUGGCACUGGGGUGUGUACACACCGCCCGUCACCCUCUUCUACUGCACACAAUAGUAAAUAACCCAACCAGCUAAUCAGAAGAGGUAAGUCGUAACAUGGUAAGUAUACCGGAAGGUGUGCUUGGAAA
This 917-nucleotide non-coding RNA is filed under the name Aromobates ericksonae. Its description in RNAcentral is "partial 12S ribosomal RNA". It matches the Rfam family "Bacterial small subunit ribosomal RNA". Lineage: Eukaryota; Metazoa; Chordata; Amphibia; Anura; Aromobatidae. The record is from RNAcentral.